Molecule: ribosomal RNA, 598 nt
Filed under: uncultured bacterium
Lineage: Bacteria
Description: bacterial SSU rRNA
Rfam family: Bacterial small subunit ribosomal RNA
Source: RNAcentral
AGUUGGUGGGGUAAAGGCUUACCAAGGCAAUGAUGCGUAGCCGAACUGAGAGGUUGAUCGGCCACAUUGGGACUGAGACACGGCCCAAACUCCUACGGGAGGCAGCAGUAGGGAAUCUUCCACAAUGGGCGAAAGCCUGAUGGAGCAACGCCGCGUGGGUGAAGAAGGUCUUCGGAUCGUAAAACCCUGUUGUUAGAGAAGAAAGUGCGUGAGAGUAACUGUUCACGUUUCGACGGUAUCUAACCAGAAAGCCACGGCUAACUACGUGCCAGCAGCCGCGGUAAUACGUAGGUGGCAAGCGUUAUCCGGAUUUAUUGGGCGUAAAGGGAACGCAGGCGGUCUUUUAAGUCUGAUGUGAAAGCCUUCGGCUUAACCGGAGUAGUGCAUUGGAAACUGGGAGACUUGAGUGCAGAAGAGGAGAGUGGAACUCCAUGUGUAGCGGUGAAAUGCGUAGAUAUAUGGAAGAACACCAGUGGCGAAAGCGGCUCUCUGGUCUGUAACUGACGCUGAGGUUCGAAAGCGUGGGUAGCAAACAGGAUUAGAUACCCUGGUAGUCCACGCCGUAAACGAUGAAUGCUAAGUGUUGGAGGGUUUCCGC